This 271-nucleotide ribosomal RNA is filed under the name uncultured archaeon. RNAcentral's name for it is "partial 16S ribosomal RNA". It matches the Rfam family "Archaeal small subunit ribosomal RNA", at positions 477 to 747 of the family's 1478-position model. The record is from RNAcentral.
CAGCGCCACGAGUGGCAAUCACGUUUAUUGGGCCUAAAGCGUCCGUAGCCGGUUUAGCAAAUCUUUUGUGAAAUCGUCAGGCUUAACUUGACGAAUUGCAGAAGACACUACUAAACUCGGGACCGGGAGGAGUCAGAAGUAUUCAGGGGGGACCGGUAAAAUGGUAUAAUCCCCUGAGGACUACCGAUGGCGAAGGCAUCUGACCAGAACGGAUCCGACGGUGAGGGACGAAAGCCAGGGGAGCAAACCGGAUUAGAUACCCGAGUAGUCC